GUUUUGGGCUCAGUGGUAGAGCGCUUGCCUAGCAUGCAGGAGGCACUGGGUUCGAUCCCUGGCACCACA
RNAcentral lists this transfer RNA (69 nucleotides) under Marmota monax (woodchuck). RNAcentral's name for it is "tRNA.Ala". The stretch from base 7 to 62 matches the Rfam family "tRNA", at positions 9 to 63 of the family's 71-position model. Rfam says of the family: Transfer RNA (tRNA) molecules are approximately 80 nucleotides in length. Their secondary structure includes four short double-helical elements and three loops (D, anti-codon, and T loops). The record is from RNAcentral. Lineage: Eukaryota; Metazoa; Chordata; Mammalia; Rodentia; Sciuridae.